RNAcentral lists this long non-coding RNA (203 nucleotides) under Elaeis guineensis (African oil palm). RNAcentral describes it as "long non-coding RNA (EGUI_LNC060760)". Lineage: Eukaryota; Viridiplantae; Streptophyta; Magnoliopsida; Arecales; Arecaceae. The record is from RNAcentral.
UCCUUCUUCCUGCUCUUGACAGUCGUCAGGUAGGCUGGACAGUUCCUCCUCUAAUGGCCUUCGAUGUUGCAAUGGAAAUACUUUCUCUUAUCAUCGACCUUCUUCAAAAUCUACUUCUUGGGCUUGACCUCAUUCUUUUACUUAUUCAUAGGCUUUUUCUUCUUCUUGAAAGAAGACUCUCUUUUGGAGGAAGCCCACUCCAC